CAACCCUCAAGCUCUGCUUGGUGUUGGGCCCUGCCAGUCCUGGCAGGCCCUAAAGUCAGUGGCGGUGCCGCCCGGCUCCGAGCGUAGUAAUUCUUCUCGCUCUGGAGGCCCGGGCGCGUGCUCGCCAGCAACCCCCAAUUUCUUCA
RNAcentral lists this unclassified non-coding RNA (146 nucleotides) under uncultured Leotiomycetes. Its description in RNAcentral is "sequence contains ITS2". Lineage: Eukaryota; Fungi; Ascomycota; Leotiomycetes. The record is from RNAcentral.